AAUGCUGGUUCAUAUGCCUAGCACCUGCUAACAAAAUCUCAGUUAUCUGCAAGGUAUAUCUAAUCAUUUUGUUUUCCAUGAUAAAGAAAAGGUAUGACCAUGGGCUUCUAAUAUUUCUCUAUACAUUUGACAUUUUGACAGUUCCUCAAAAAAAGUAAAUCCAUCAUUGCUAACAUUUAGGAGAAAUUAUAUUUUUCAGUUCCGUAACUAUUGUCAGAGUUUUGCACGAUUUGUAUAAGAAAUCUGAUAGACUUGUUGUGUUUGUUAUGCCCUUCUAUACAUGGUAUUAUUAUUGUGGUGGAUAGGCCAGUCAUUGGAGUUGGAGCGUGGUAGAUGGGUUGGAGCAGAGCAUGGUAGAUGGAUUGGAGAACAGACCAGGUCAUGCAGACAGCUCUAACGGCACAUUAGAGUUAACUUUAUAUUUCUGGCUAACUUGGAGGCUUGGCUGCUUCCCCAUCAGUUCACUACUUCUAAUUGUUCGAGUGCAGCUGUACUCGAGACAAACACAAUCCAGUAAGGUAGUUUGUUCAAAUAGAUCUCAGAUGUUGAAUGAAGAUUAUAAGAUGUAGGUUAAAUUGAAGGAAAUAAGAGAGAC
Molecule: long non-coding RNA, 595 nt
Filed under: Hordeum vulgare
Lineage: Eukaryota; Viridiplantae; Streptophyta; Magnoliopsida; Poales; Poaceae
Description: long non-coding RNA (HVUL_LNC003421)
Source: RNAcentral